CAUUUAGUGACCAACUGCCUUUGUGAGGUGUGCAGACCUCCUGGUCAUAAACACUUUUAAGUUGCUCUUUAUGGAGGUUAUUUCAGUGCUUAACAAUACCAUAUGCAGAUGGCAGGGAGUAUAGAAGGACCGUUGAAUACCUUAUCACUCCACUGUUGAAUAGCUUUUUUGAUAAAAGGUGUAAUCUGGUCUCAUUGCAAAUUUUCCAGAAAACCAAACACAUGACACAUUAGUUUCAGGGGCCUCAAGAGUGUAACUGCAGUUGACUAAUUGGACUGACUAAAACAAUAGCAUUGUAACCUGAAUAAGUGAUGAGGCACCAACAAUAAAUAGCUCUGGGGGGAGGGGGUCAAUGGUCAGUCACCAGGAGAGACCAAACUGACUUUGGGUAGGAGUCACAAGUCUGCAAUGCAACAGCAAUGUCUACAGUAACAGAGCCCUUCACUUUCUGUUUUUUUUCUGUGAUGGUGGAAGUGUUGUCUUGUGGGAUGUGAUGAUAGAUCCAGGCAACAAGACUUUAGCAACUAAAGUGCUGAGCAACUUAAGUGCAGCCUCAAGUAGCAGCUUGAUUCCAGUCAGUCUCAUCAGAGAAUGGGUCUUUCCUUUGGGCAUCUACAUGAGGGCCCAGAAAGUUUAGUCAGCAACUAUAAUUUGUUUCCACAGUUCACACCUCGAGACAAUUUUCUUUAAUCAGCUAGUCUGUAAUUUUUUUUAAAGCAGCAGAUCAAAUAGUGAGGUCACUAGCAAAAGCCCAAGAGUCAGUAAACACAGAGCAAGGUUCAUCAAGGCAGGUAUUAACUAAAUAUCUGAGAAGGGCCUUAAGUUCUUUCCUGAGUGGAGGUGCUGUCUGUUUUCAGUAUUGCAAAGCUGGUACUGAGGUUGAACAGCUGCUGCAGUCCAGUGAAACCAAGUUUUAGCUUAGCCCAACCAGGCUCAGGAUUUAGGGGAAUCUGUGAAUUGAGGGCCCCAAUGGGCUAGUGAAAUGGCUGAGUGAGAGGCAAAAGUUUCCCCAGAGAGACAGCUGCCACUUUUUCAUGUAAACCCCAGAUGCCUAUUUUCAUUUGACAAGCAAGGUUUUGUGAGCCCUUACAUGUCAGUCACAGAGUCUGAGUUGAGCCACCAAAAAAUGGGAAUAUCAGGCCAGAGAUUCACAAGACCUACAUAGAUAAAUUAUCAUUUGAUUUUUAUAAAAGUUCGGUAGCAAGCUGAUCACUGCUUUUCAAAAGUGGUACUGUUCCCAACAAGA
Long non-coding RNA from Phyllostomus discolor (pale spear-nosed bat), 1246 nucleotides. RefSeq lists it as uncharacterized. NCBI's taxonomy places the organism in Eukaryota, Metazoa, Chordata, Mammalia, Chiroptera, Phyllostomidae. The transcript has 3 exons. The record is from RefSeq and is a predicted model, not a curated record.